Long non-coding RNA from Symphalangus syndactylus (siamang), 4149 nucleotides. RefSeq lists it as uncharacterized. The record is from RefSeq and is a predicted model, not a curated record. NCBI's taxonomy places the organism in Eukaryota, Metazoa, Chordata, Mammalia, Primates, Hylobatidae.
UAUAAAAAGUGAAAUUUAACCCGUGAGAUGGAUCAGGCUGUAAACUGCCCAAUUCUGUCGCUGUUCAGGGCGCCACUUGUAACCACCCUCAAUCCCUGGUGGACCGAACAAAGGGGGCGAAUGUGGGAAUAAAAGACAAGAGACAAGAGAGUAUAUUUGAAAGAAGGGGUCAAGGGGCACCUUGCCUCUAGUGGACAAGGGCCCUGAACUUUACACAGCCCUCCAUAUUUAUUGGUAAAAGAGCUAGAGCUUUACACAGCCCUCUGUAUUUACUGGUAAAAGAGAUCUUGAGAAGGGGGGUGAUUGCCGGGUAAUCGGCAGUCGGUUUGGUUCACAGCAGGCUUGCGAGACUGCAUCCUUUGAACAACAGGCGCUAGAUUUCCCAGUAGAUAACUUCAAGGACCCCAACGCCAGGGAGUGACCGCCCUCAGCAAACCUUCUGGCAGCAGGCGCAGUCAUGAGUUUUACUCACAUCCUACAUUCAUGAUAAACAGUUUGCUGUUUGGUCAUAUAGCCUCCAGCGGAAUGCUGACUUGGUCACGAUCCCUUUGGCCUUUUUGGCUCCCAACAUCAGGCUAUUUUUUUUUUUUUUCCGUCAGUUCAUAGAUUCAGCACCGGUGCUGUUCUUAUUUUUCGUAUUUAUAGAUCAAAACACCAAGGAAAACCCGUGCCCGUAAUUAAGCAGAUGGCACCAGGAGUUCUGCCACUUGACUCUGAGCCCUUCUGAAGACUUCAUCAGCCGGAGCUUGACAGGUUCUCCUUCACAUGUGGCUGAAGCCAGAAGAGAAGCCUCCCGGCCUGCAGGCAGCUUCAUGGGUGGCAUGUGGCGGUGGCCUCCUCAGCCUUGAUGGUGGCACUCGGGGCUGUCCUCUGGCAGAGCCCUCACCAGGCAGCAGCUGACGAGGAGACCCAGAUGAUGAAGCUCUAGGCCUUGUGACUGUGUUUGGAAGGUAUUUGCAUCUGUGCAGCUCAGCGUGAGGGGCAGAUGGGCUGAGCCACACCCUGGCAGCCUGGGGUGGUGGUCUGAUUCUUGCUGUCCUCAAGCUCACGCUCCAGUCUCACCAUGCAUGGCUCCCAGCCCCUCCCUUGGCCCCGGGGGGACCCUCCGGUGAGCAUCACCGCCUACUCUUCAGCACACCCUCUGUGCCCUGCACUUUGCUUUCCACGUCGAGGGCCAUUUGCCUUCUUAAGAUGAGACAACUGAGAGGGGUGAGGUGACGCCACAUGGCCACAUCCCCAGAGCCAGCAAGGACAGGGCUGAGCACACCGCAGCCCGCACUCCAAGCAUCACAGCAUGGGCCCCACAGAGCAAACAACAGUGCAUGUGAAGAGAGCCUGAGAUCACCAUAGAGAAAAAGAGAAUGCUUCUACUUGGAAAAAGCUAGGAACAUACAUGAAAACUCUUGAUAGUUUGGUUUUUAAUCACCUGUAGGAGAAACUGUGAGUCCGCACAGACACCGCCAGCCUGUGCCCAGGUCUGGGUCAAUAAACAGGUGCAAGGGCUCACUCUGCCCAGGAACAAUCAACAGAUGACAGAGUGUGCAGUAGCUUCAGAGCUUCAGAGCUUUUGGCUCCCGGCUCCCACAGCCCACUCCUGGACUAGUACCUGCCAGGUGCUUUGUCACACAGAUACUUUGUGCUGUCGGCAUUAACUGCUGGAGAGGAACACCUGAUGUCACCUCCAGGUGCUGUAAACCCAUCCCAGGAUGGCCCACUUGUAGGUGAGGCCUCUGACAUCAAAGGAGAAUCUGUGACAUCAAAUCCAAUCACAGCACAGUGAGCCAGGUUUCACCUUCAAAGUUCAUGCUGGUGAAGUUAUCCCUGGUGCAGAACACGGAAAUAGCACAGAACGCACUGUGGGCAGGACAUCCUCUCUCUGAUCCUCACCAGGAAGGGAGGCAGUCUCAGGCCGGGGUGGGACCAAGCUCUUGAGACACCCAUCUUGCUUUGCUCUGAGUCCAUGCCCACUGCCGAGUGGCCUGCUCCCAGGGAUCCUGCUAUCAAGGCGGGUGGCUGGACAGUGAGUUCCGGGACACUCACAUGCCAGAUUCUGAUGUGCCUGGUUGGCAUGGGGAAGCUCCUGGGCACAGAGCUGAGGCCCAGGCCCUGCCACUACAUGAGUGCCCAUGGCCUCCCCAGGCCCGCUCCCAUGCCUCCAGCUCAAGGCACUAAGUGGCCAAAAUGAUGGCUGAGUGUAAAGUCACUUUGCUCUAAGCAAGAACUGAGAGGAGGCACAGGGGUGACCCCGUGAGCCCACAGAAGCCAUUUGGUACAUAUUUGUUGACUUACUUAAAAUGAAAAAAGUUGGAAAAUACACUGCUAGAAGGCUUGCACGGUUUCCUUUUUGUUUGCAGGCUGGCUUCAUGCUGGGUGACUGCUACAUACCUGUGGGCACCAGUGUUCACUGCCUCUUAGAUGCUUCCAUUUUUAUGGAAUUCACAUCUCCAGGUACUGGAGUCCCCAUAUAUAUUUGCUAUUAGAAGACAAAAAUUAUGGGAAGUAUAAAUGUGUGUUAACUUAUAUCACACUGAUUUUAAAAUAAGUAUUUCUCCACUGUCUCUUCAAUUUCUAUGACAAAGAACAUGAUAUCACAGCUUAGAGCUAUUGGCCAGUGAUCAUAAACUCAAAAAAACCCCAUAUUAGCCUCUGAAUUUGACAGAAAGGAACAAAAAUAAUCUUUUCAUCAUUUAGUGCUUUUCUGUGUACCACUUGCUAAAGGCAGCACAACAGAACCAGGCUUCAGAAGUAGUAGGUAGAUAAGAAAUCUAAGUCACAACUGUUAGCCAAAAGCAGAAGCCAGAAUUAAAACACCAGAGGUAUCCAUGUGAAAACUAAAUCUAGAGCUUAGAAAAAUAGUUGUAUAAACUAAGGCAAAAAUGACAAUGUCAAAAUAUUUGUGGAAAGAAAUAAAACUCUAAGUCUAUAAUGUGUCUUCACCAAAAAACAGAAGGCUUAUGUGGAUUUGACAACAAACAAAAUCUUAGUAACUGGAGAAUAAUGUGAAAAGAAAAAUGUCUAAAUGUUUACUGAGUAGAAAGCAGACUUAGGUUUUAUAAAAUUCACCAUACAUGAAAAUGCGUUGUACUCUCAACUCUAACUGAAAUGAGGACAAAGCCACAUAGGCCCCUGCAGAGGUGUCCCACACACAAGCACUGGAGCUGCUCUAGGCAUUGCUUUCCAUCUGUUUGCUUGGGAGAAGUUGUAAUAAACCUUUCCCCCAACAAGCGCAGACCCUCAGGCCUUGCCUCAUCAUCUGGGGGACUGCGUCCUGCAUCUGUGACAGUCACUUCCGGGACACAUCUCCUGGCAUGGGUCCUCAGGGACAGCCUCAGAAUCAACUCCUCAGAGUGAUCUGCAGCAUCUGUAAAUACACUGAUUGCUAUUUUUGGGAUAUUGGGAUAUGAAAUGUAUAUGUAUUGAUUCUCAGGCAUUUUUAUCAUAUAAAACAACAUUUGUUUCAAUAUCCUCGUAUAUGAGCCCUUCCUCGAGCAAAAUGUUAAGUUUCAGAGACCAAAAUAGAAUGGAGAUUUGGCCGGGCGUGGUAGCUCAUGUCUGUAAUCCCAGCACUUUGGGAGGCCGAGAUGGGCAGAUUACUUGAGCUCAGGAAUUCGAGACCAGCUCGGGCAACAUGGUGAAAUCCCAUCUCUACAAAAAAAAUACAAAAAUUAGCCUGCUCUUCCUACGGUGAACAACUGGAGGACUGCUAAGCCUCAGUCUGGGGCCAAGCUGAGCACAUGACAGAGAGUGCCUCUGUCCAGAGUGUCCCCAGAGGGCACCCUCCCAUGGCACGCACAGCACCUAGCCCACCUGCAUCUGCAUCUCCCUAAUUGGCCUGCACGGCUUGGUUGAGAAGUAAAUGCAUGCAGAGCUCCGCCUCCAUUGUAUUCUUGCCAGAAAUGUUCAGCCUAAGUCAGCAGUGAGAAACGGAACACCCAGGCUGUGAUAGCCUCUGCAGAGCAACUGGCCUUCAAAACAUCAGUGUCGGGAGAGAAAGAAAAGCAGACCCAGGCAGGAACAUGCCUCGAGAGGUGUGGAUACUGGAGACCUUCAGCUGAUCCCAUAAGACCUGCAGGCUGUGGUACCUCAGCUGUGGCGUGCUUCAAGACGCUUCCGUGAAGAUAUUCUCCUCAACCUAUGAAUACCUUACAG